Molecule: ribosomal RNA, 556 nt
Filed under: uncultured bacterium
Lineage: Bacteria
Description: partial 16S ribosomal RNA
Rfam family: Bacterial small subunit ribosomal RNA
Source: RNAcentral
UGGGGAAUUUUGGACAAUGGGGGAAACCCUGAUCCAGCCAUCCCGCGUGUGCGAUGAAGGCCUUCGGGUUGUAAAGCACUUUUGGCAGGAAAGAAACGUCGCGGGUUAAUACCCCGCGAAACUGACGGUACCUGCAGAAUAAGCACCGGCUAACUACGUGCCAGCAGCCGCGGUAAUACGUAGGGUGCAAGCGUUAAUCGGAAUUACUGGGCGUAAAGCGUGCGCAGGCGGUUCGGAAAGAAAGAUGUGAAAUCCCAGAGCUUAACUUUGGAACUGCAUUUUUUAAACUACCGGGCUAGAGUGUGUCAGAGGGAGGUGGAAUUCCGCGUGUAGCAGUGAAAUGCGUAGAUAUGCGGAGGAACACCGAUGGCGAAGGCAGCCUCCUGGGAUAACACUGACGCUCAUGCACGAAAGCGUGGGGAGCAAACAGGAUUAGAUACCCUGGUAGUCCACGCCCUAAACGAUGUCAACUAGCUGUUGGGGCCUUCGGGCCUUGGUAGCGCAGCUAACGCGUGAAGUUGACCGCCUGGGGAGUACGGUCGCAAGAUUAAAACUC